GACGAACGCUGGCGGCGUGCCUAAUACAUGCAAGUAGAACGCUGAAGGAGGAGCUUGCUUCUCUGGAUGAGUUGCGAACGGGUGAGUAACGCGUAGGUAACCUGCCUGGUAGCGGGGGAUAACUAUUGGAAACGAUAGCUAAUACCGCAUAAUAGCAGUUGUUGCAUGAUAACUGUUUGAAAGGUGCAAUUGCACCACUACCAGAUGGACCUGCGUUGUAUUAGCUAGUUGGUGGGGUAACGGCUCACCAAGGCGACGAUACAUAGCCGACCUGAGAGGGUGAUCGGCCACACUGGGACUGAGACACGGCCCAGACUCCUACGGGAGGCAGCAGUAGGGAAUCUUCGGCAAUGGACGGAAGUCUGACCGAGCAACGCCGCGUGAGUGAAGAAGAUUUUCGGAUCGUAAAGCUCUGUUGUAAGAGAAGAACGAGUGUGAGAGUGGAAAGUUCACACUGUGACGGUAUCUUACCAGAAAGGGACGGCUAACUACGUG
RNAcentral lists this ribosomal RNA (495 nucleotides) under uncultured bacterium. RNAcentral's name for it is "partial 16S ribosomal RNA". It matches the Rfam family "Bacterial small subunit ribosomal RNA", at positions 28 to 507 of the family's 1533-position model. The record is from RNAcentral.